UACAGAGGGGGCAAGCGUUGUUCGGAAUUACUGGGCGUAAAGGGCGCGUAGGCGGCCUUCUAAGUCGAACGUGAAAUCCCUGGGCUCAACCCAGGAACUGCGUCCGAUACUGGAAGGCUUGAAUCCGGGAGAGGAAUGCGGAAUUCCAGGUGUAGCGGUGAAAUGCGUAGAUAUCUGGAGGAACACCGGUGGCGAAGGCGGCAUUCUGGACCGAUAUUGACGCUGAGGAGCGAAAGCCAGGGGAGCAAACGGG
RNAcentral lists this ribosomal RNA (253 nucleotides) under uncultured bacterium. Its description in RNAcentral is "partial 16S ribosomal RNA". It matches the Rfam family "Bacterial small subunit ribosomal RNA", at positions 524 to 776 of the family's 1533-position model. The record is from RNAcentral.